UGGGGAAUAUUGCACAAUGGGCGAAAGCCUGAUGCAGCGACGCCGCGUGAGGGAUGACGGCCUUCGGGUUGUAAACCUCUUUCGCUCAUGGUCAAGCCGCAGCUUUGGGUUGUGGUGAGGGUAGUGGGUAAAGAAGCGCCGGCUAACUACGUGCCAGCAGCCGCGGUAAUACGUAGGGCGCGAGCGUUGUCCGGAAUUAUUGGGCGUAAAGGGCUUGUAGGCGGUUGGUCGCGUCUGCCGUGAAAUCCUCUGGCUUAACUGGGGGCGUGCGGUGGGUACGGGCUGACUUGAGUGCGGUAGGGGAGACUGGAACUCCUGGUGUAGCGGUGGAAUGCGCAGAUAUCAGGAAGAACACCGGUGGCGAAGGCGGGUCUCUGGGCCGUUACUGACGCUGAGGAGCGAAAGCGUGGGGAGCGAACA
RNAcentral lists this ribosomal RNA (420 nucleotides) under uncultured Actinomyces sp. RNAcentral's name for it is "bacterial SSU rRNA". It matches the Rfam family "Bacterial small subunit ribosomal RNA", at positions 355 to 774 of the family's 1533-position model. Lineage: Bacteria; Bacillati; Actinomycetota; Actinomycetes; Actinomycetales; Actinomycetaceae. The record is from RNAcentral.